RNAcentral lists this ribosomal RNA (254 nucleotides) under uncultured bacterium. Its description in RNAcentral is "partial 16S ribosomal RNA". It matches the Rfam family "Bacterial small subunit ribosomal RNA", at positions 524 to 776 of the family's 1533-position model. The record is from RNAcentral.
UACGGGGGGGGGCAAGCGUUGUUCGGAAUUACUGGGCGUAAAGGGCUCGUAGGCGGCCAACUAAGUCCGACGUGAAAUCCCCAGGCUCAACCUGGGAACUGCGUCGGAUACUGGAUGGCUUGAAUUCGGGAGAGGGAUGCAGAAUUCCAGGUGUAGCGGUGAAAUGCGUAGAUAUCUGGAGGAAUACCGGUGGCGAAGGCGGCAUCCUGGACCGACAUUGACGCUGAGGAGCGAAAGCCAGGGGAGCAAACGGG